Molecule: non-coding RNA, 9020 nt
Organism: Cherax quadricarinatus
Lineage: Eukaryota; Metazoa; Arthropoda; Malacostraca; Decapoda; Parastacidae
Source: RefSeq, a predicted model, not a curated record
UUAAUUACAUGUACUUUUGCAGGUUGUGCUUCAGGGAUUCCAAAACGGUGCACCAUCGCACUUCCUGACAGAGAAGAUUACUGUCUCAGGGGUCGACCAGACUCCAGGAUCCUUAACGAGCCCCAUGAGCGUGGCAUCCAGUACUGCCAGGAUGGUGGCACCCAACCAAGCACUGCGAGGCAUACCCCUGGCACCCCAGUACUUUAUGACACCAUCAGUCAGCAUGGCACCUCUGAUGACACCCACUGUGGCAGCACCCCAGGCCAUGGCACUCUCCUCCGGGGCAUACCUGCUGCCUUCAACACCACUGACAGGGUAUGAGAGCUUGAGCCCAUAUGCCCUCCAGGCAGCAUUCUACCAGCAAGCACUGAUGCCACAGCCAGGCAUCGCGGCACUGGAGCGGUCAUGUUACACUACCACGGGAGAAUAACAGUACAGUGACUCUGAACAACAUUAAUGUUUUCAAACAUUUUUAGUGCUUCUGACAUUUAAAACAUUUUUAGAAAUAAGUGAAACAGUCGUGUUUACAGUGAACAGAGGUCACUGUAUGUGUAUAGUACAGUGAAUGGAGGUCACUAUGUGUAUAGUGCAGUGAAUGUUGGUCACUGUACAUGUAUAGUGCAGUGAACAUAAGUCACUGUGCAUGUCUAGUGCAGUGAAUGCAGGUCACUGUAUACAUUUAGUACAGUGAAGCCAAUGUAAACAGUGACCUCCUAUCAGAACCCAUUGACAAGUGUAUGUCACUGCUACAACACAUCCAAAAACUGUUAAUACAACACAGUAGUAUGCCGUGUAUGGCAUUAAAAAGCAUGGGGCAAAACGUCUCGGUAAAACACCAUAAAUCGCACUGGCCAGCGCAUGUUUUGGCACUGCAUGGUGCCAGUGAUCAUGCGAAGGCACUCAGGGAUGAGUGCCCAGGAUUUUCUGUUUUCCAUACAGUGUAACAGACAGUGAGUGUAUGCUCAGUCCCACUUAUGCAGGUCCCAUUCAGGCAGGUCCCACUUUGGUAGGUUCUACUCUGGCAGGUCCCACCCUGGCAGGUCCUGCUUUGGCAGGUCCCACUUUGGUAGGUUCCACUCUGGCAGGUCCCACUUUGGUAGGUCCCACCCUGGCAGGUCCCACUCAUGCUGGUCCCACUUUGUCAGGUCCCAGUCAUGCAGGUUCCACUUUGUCAGGUCCCACUCAUGCAGGUUCCACUUAGGCAGGUCCCAUUCAGGUAGGUCCCACUCAGGUCCCACUGGCAGGUCCCAUUCAUGCUGCUGUAGUAAACAGUGAUGUAAAUCAUUAUAUUGGAAAUAUUGAAAAACUUUAAUACAGUCAGUUUGCUUAUUUAAAAAGCUCAUCUGUACACAAUCAGUCCUCUUAUAAAGCUCAUCUGUAUACAGUCAGUUCUCUUAUAAAGCUCAUCUAUAUACAGUCAGUUCUCUUAUAAAGCUCAUCUAUAUACAGUCAGUUUGCUUAUAAAGCUCAUCUAUAUACAGUCAGUUAUCUUAUAAAGUUCAUCUAUAUACAGUCACUUCUCUUAUAAAGCUCCUCUAUAUACAAUUUGUAAGAGAGCUGACUGUGUACAGAGGAGCUUUGUAGGAUAGCAUACUGUAUAUAAAGGAACUUUUUAAGAACUGACUGUAUAUAAUGUUGUAAAGUACUACAGUUUCUUGUAUCAAUUUAUAUUAUCAACAUUCAGGUAGUUUAUAUUAUCAUCAGCAUUCAGGUAGUUUAUCAUCAUCAUCAACAUUGGGAUUGAUAGAAAAGUGACUGUGAUAAUGUGUGAAAUGUUUUAGCAGGUGUUUCAUUUACAGCAAGACAACGAUGUAUGAUAUAAGAGCAUAUUGACGAAUACAGACAAUGGCAUGUAAUUGCAGACCAUCACGCAUGUAGUGUAGCUUUCCUGAGGGCAGGAGGAGGCAAUAGUGACAGUGUGCUACUUUAAAAGCACUUUAAUAUUUGAGCAAAAUGUGAGGAUGUCGGCAUCUCGUACAAUGAGUGUUGUCUCGUCUCCUGUAAGUACAGUGCUCCCUGAUUCUGCUCUAUGGUAUUGUUUCCUAAAAACCCCCUCAAGGAGGGAGAUGUCAAAGGGGAGGUUGGGACACUGACCUAGGAGACUGAACCUGCCCUUCCCUCACAUCCAGCCUUCUAGGCCACCCUUAUGGGUUUAACGCUCCCCUGAUUGUUGCUUCAGAGGCUGGGCUCUAGCACAGGAUCUACUAUCUACCCUCUCAAAUUUAAAUAAAACAUUCCUUUGUUAACGAGGCAUAAUUUUGAGGUAAAAGUCAACAGAAGUAAUUUCUGCAUGUUUCUGGCCAUUGUCUGAGUAUUUUGUGUUAGAGUUCACUGACUGGUGUGAAAGUUGUGCAGGUGGUGACUAGAGCAUGUUUCACCCACACUGGCUCGUGAAAGCCAUCGGUGGGCAAAACAUCACUGUUUGCAACUUCAGAUUAACCCCCUUGAGUUAAUCCCAAACCAUCGUAUUACAUGGAUUUAUUUUCUGCGACAACCAGAUAAUGAAUAACCCAUAUGGGGGGUCAUCUGGAGAGCAGCAGCUAAUCAAGUUUGAUCUGAGGAAGAGGAGGCGAGCUGCCCCUCCCCCCCAGUUCCUUCAAAGAAAGUUAGGUAACCAAGUUUGCCUUUAAAACUUAAGUGCAUAUUUAUUUGUUGAACCUUAUUAGUAAUAAUGAGGAGUUGUUAUCUUGUUAAGCUCCAAACCCAUAAGUGUAUACAAUACUGUUGUAUUUUAUACAAUCUGUGCUUUAUUAUUUAAUUAGAGCCUUCAGCUCUAUUAUUUAAGUAAUAGAGCUGAAGGUUUCACAUUUUUUGUACCUUUGUAGUUGAUGAGUGAGACAGGUGUAGCAAUUAGUACCUUUGUAGUUGAUGAUUGAGACACAGGUGUAGCAGUUACAACCUUUGUGAUUACCCACAAUGCACUACUGGCUUUCUUUUGUGCCUAAAAACAUUGUAUUAUGUGUAAACAACAUUAUCUGUGUACUGCAUAAGAUAUUAAAAUUAGAAUUUUAAUAUAUGCAUCAGGUGACAGUUUGCUGGUGACUUACAAGCCUGGAGAUACCACAAGUGGUGACUUACAAGCCUGGUGACACUACAAGUGGUGACUUACAAGCCUGGAGACACCACAAGUGGUGACUUACAAGCCUGGUGACACUACAAGUGGUGACUUACAAGCCUGGUGACACUACAAGUGGUGACUUACAAGCCUGGAGAUACCACAAGUGGUGACUUACAAGCCUGGUGACACCACAAGUGGUGACUUACAAACCUGGAGACACCACAAGUGGUGACUUACAAGCCUGGAGACACCACAAGUGGUGAGGUGGUCUGAGGUAAUCAGCCUCAGCUUUGAGGGACUGACUACCUUCCAUCAAGGGUGAGGGACUAACUACCUUCCAUCAAGGGUGAGGGACUGAUUACCUUCCAUCAAGGCUGAGGGACUGACUACCUUCCAUCAAGGGUGAGGGACUGACUACCUUCCAUCAAGGCUGAGGGACUGAUUACCUUCCAUCAAGGCUGAGGGACUGAUUACCUUCCAUCAAGGCUGAGAGACUGAUUACCUCAAUCCACUUCGUACUUUAUCUCUGUAUUCAAUUGAAGAAGCCUUAACACAGGCAGAAUGAGUGUCACAUGCUUGAAGCUCAUGAGGUGGUGUGUGUGUGUGUAUGUGUACCCCUACACACACACAUUCCCUGUGUGGUCCAUCUUGUCAGUGUGUCUGUUUUACUGUACUCAGGUAUCCAAUCCUUUGGUGGUUCUCUCUAGGUAAACUCCAGGUAAACAUAGUUGCAUGUCUCAUAUAUGGUGUACCAUACACUCCUGCCAUGACUCAUACUGACCCCCAAACAUGGUGUACCAUACACUCCUGCCAUGACUCAUACUGACCCCAAACAUGGUGUACCAUACACUCCUGCAUGACUCAUACUGACCCCCAAACAUGGUGUACCAUACACUCCUGCCAUGACUCAUACUGACCCCCAAACAUGGUGUACCAUACACUCCUGCCAUGACUCAUACUGACCCCCAAACAUGGUGUACCAUACACUCCUGCCAUGACUCAUACUGACCCCCAAACAUGGUGUACCAUACACUCCUGCCAUGACUCAUACUGACCCCCAAACAUGGUGUACCAUACACUCCUGCCAUGACUCAUACUGACUCCAGAACAGAAUACUUAUAACACUUUCCUUCACAUCUGUACCAUUCAAUACUUUCUUCAAUAACAAACUUAGAAUAUUUUCUGCCUUAUAAAUUUGCUGAAAGCAUUAGUGACUGUAAAAUUAGAGUCCUUAUUAAGAUUCACAAGUCAGAGAGCAAGUACUACCAUCCAUUGUAGACUCUACCUAGAUGACAACCAGCAGCUCCCAUUACCUGGAGAGAGUUCUGGGGGUCAAUGCCCCUGCAGCCCGGUCUGUGACCAGGCCUCAUGGUGAAUCAGGUCCUGAUCAACCAGGUUGUUACUGCUGGCUGCACACAAUCCAACGUACGAGCCACAGCCUGGCUGGUCAGGUACCGACUUUAGGUGCCUGUCCAGUGCCUGCUUGAAGACAGCCAGGGGUCUAUUGGUAAUCCCCCUUAUGUAUGCUGGGAGGCAUUUGAACAGUCUUGGGCCCCUGACACUUAUUGUGUUGUCUCUUAGCAUGCUAGUGACACCCCUGCUUUUCAUUGGGGGGGGGGAUGUUGCAUCGUACUAUUCUAUCUACAGCUGACACUGGAUUAGUGGUACUUAUAUCCAGACCUGUUGAACAAAGCCACUACCAGACAUCCAGGUUGUGGUGGACAUGUUGGACUUUGUGCAGCUAGCAUCAACAACCUGGUUGAUCAAGUCAUGCACCAGAAGGCCUGGUCUGGGACCAAACUGUGAGGGUGUUGAUCCAUGUAAGACUCUCCAGGUAGCUAGAAUAGUGACUGCAGAAAUAUACAGUGUGGGCAUGCGACAUGUAGACAUAAAAUCAUUAGUUUCAAACAAACGCAACUCUUCCACCAGGAAAUCAACCUUAGCUGUGUUGUGUUUUCAAUAAACACAAAGAAGCUGAUUUUUUUUUGGGGUCCCGAAACACGCUGAUCUUCAAGUCAAUGAAUAAGUUGAGUCAGCCUCUUGAUUAUUUAUGUAUACAAGCAGUAGCUACACUUGUGUCUACCACCAACACUCACACUCAGAUACAUGUUAGUGAAUUCUAUUGUAGCAUUUAGAGCAAUGUAAGAAUAAGUGUGACAGGGUCAUAAAAGGUCAGGAAUCAUUGAUGCCGAUCAAACUAGUCUAGCAGGUGGGGCCAGGAGCUGAGUCUCAGUCCCUCACAAACACACCCUGGUCAGUACAAUUCACCAGAUCAGCAUUUUACAGGGAAGAGGUAAAGCUGUAGGGGCUCCCAGCAUGAGAGGAACACACUUGUUACUAAUGAAGUUUAAAUCUAUGGAAACAGCUCUAAUCCCUGGGAUCAAGAGCCCUUCUCCAGCAUCAAGGCUCCACCCUAUAAAAAGGUGUAUUACCAAAGCAUAUAGAAGUGUAUACCAUCAGUAAUACGUUGUAUAGAGAUGCAUAAUAUUUUUGUAUUAAUACAAAGAGUGAAGAGUGAGAGACAUUUCUCACUAUAAUACACAAAUCCACAGUAUUUACAAAGGAUCUGACUAACAUAAGAUAGAAUUUGAUCCUCUACAACACAAUUCUGAUCCUAAAAUGGUGAUUCCUUUUCCCGUUUUGAUUCAACAAACACCGUAUAACAUGAUUACCACCAUAAUUAUCACCAUUUCUUUUUACUUGUUAAUUUUGUUUCAUAUAUAUAUAUAUACAUACAUACAUACAGUAGGGCCCUAUAUCCGUGGGGGAUACUGAGACCGUGGAUAGUAGCAAAUCCUAUAUAUAAGUCCUCUACGUACCUAUUAUAAAGUUCAAUUGAUAAAUUAUGCACAAUAAGUGGAGAAUUAUCACUUUUUCACUGAUGGGAAGCACUUCAGUGCUUCUCUUAGGCUUUAAAGAACUGCAAGUUUCUUUACUUUUGCACUUUGGGGCCAUUAUUACUAUACAAAAUUAAGAGGUAUUUUUUUGGCCAUAAACUGAAACUGCGGACACUGAAUUCAUGGAUGCAGGGGUUCUGCUGUAUAUUAUAUAAUAUACAUAUACAGGAGGUCUUCAAUUUACAGUGUCAGUUGUUUUAUAAUUUGUAAGUCACUCAUUUUUCAACUUAUACUCAAGUAAUCAUUGUUUUUCAAUUUACAAAGAAUUUUUUUUUUUUUAACAAUUUCAGUUUACAAACAAGUCUUCUUUUUUUUUUUCGUUUAAUUUACAAAAGUAUUGUUUGUACACCAAGUACAGCAGAGGUGAUGUUAUAUUUGACAUGCAUUUAUGCUGCACCUGGGUGCUCGUAAAACACCGUUUGGUUAACAAGUUCUCUGUUUGUAAGUGUCUUGUGAGGAUGUUUUUAAUUUACGGAGUUUUGUAAGUUGGUGACCUCUUGUAAAUGUUAAAGAAAAAAAGCACAUUGUAAACAGUACUGCUUGGAUUGUAAACACAAUGAAAAUUCUAUUUACAUGGCUGUAAAUCAUUUACAGAUUUUAAUUAAGGAAAUUAAUUAUUUACCUAGCUGUAAAUAAUUUACAGAAGAUUUUAAUUGAGGAAAUUAAUUUUAUUUACCUAACUGUAAAUAAUUUACAGAUUUUCAUUAAGAAAAUUAAUGAUUUAGUUAAUUAUAAAUUAAGAUAUUGGUUAAUUCUAAUUUUGUUAAUUAAGGUUGAAUUUUAAUUUCUGGAUACUGAUGAUCGUGGAUUAUCUGAGCUGCUCUUGGAUGAGGAUCCACCUCCAGAUUUUGGAUAAUAUGACCCCAAUGGAAAUAAGUCACUCUGACUUUCUUGGGUUAUCCCAGGUUCUCUACACACAUGUUUCUAUGUAACUGUGUACCUGAAUAAACUUAUCCAUUUUAUUUGUAUAAUCAAGUUGGGGCAAUGGGUCGGAAAGACAGCCAGAUAUUCACAAGCUGAGUAAUUCAGUGCUGGAUAAAUCCACCAAUUUUCCAUACGUUGGCUUAUCCUUCUGAGCAAAUGUUGGUAUGUAAAGUGACUGAGUCAGUAGAUUAUCAGCAAUGAAAAAAAUAUAACCCACAAUAAUAUUGUGGGUUAUUGUUGAGGUUGCAACAAUUCACAGCCCACAAUACCAAGGCUAUUCACAACCCACAAUACCAAGGCUGCAAUAAUUCACAACCCAUAAUACCAAGGCUCAUAUCAAAAAGAUCCGAACAUUAAAAAAAAAAAAAAAAAAAACCACAAUACAGCGAUCCCUCAAGUUACAAAAUUAACCAGUUGCAGGAGACGUAUCAUACCUCACAACUACCACAACUCAGACGCCAAAAUACUUUUAAGGUAAUCCGUUGCCAGACCCUGGAAGUGCAACUUUUACUGCAGCUUGGGCUGUAUGAUCCUUGUGGGUUUAGUGCUCAGUUUUGGACUAACAUUCUGACAGAUAUAACUUGCAGCCGCUCUGUCUCCCAUCAUCUGCUUCUCUUAUAUCCACAAUAAUAGUAGUCUUUUUCAUCUUUAUCAUAAUUUCUUUGCUUUUUUUUACUAGCUUAGAUUUGUCAUCCACUUGAAUAUUCUUUAUAAUAUCUUUUUUGUUUGAUAACAAUAGAGAUGGUUGAACAUGGAAGCCAUAGCCAUGCACCGUGUCCUCAUUCUGGCUCGGUUAUGUUUUUUCCCAAUUUUUUGUUUGAUCUUCAGAGAGAUUGGCUGUCUAGUGCUCACUUUAGGAGCCACGAUGAUGCAGUAACAAACAUAAUUAAAUCACAAAUGUUUAUGUAUCUCAAAUUUUUUCAUGGCAACUCACAAUUCUUUUAAGAGUGCAAAUCGUAACUUAAAAUUAAAGUAAUUGCAGUCUAUCAUAACUCAAGGGAACAUUAUACUUGACCAUAAAGUAGACAGCAACACCUCCAAAAAAAGCCAGACCAUUUAGUUUAAAAUCUUAAAAUUUGCCAAAAUUAAUCAAGUUUUCGACCACCAUACCCUUUAGAUGUAAUGUUCAAGAUACUGUGUUAAGAAUUUGGUUUAACAAUAAACAAUACAGAUCAACAUUUGUGUUUGAAGGAAAAGUUGUAUACUCUGCCCAUAUUGACGUAUGUAUUACUGAUGUAUGGCCAUAUUGCCAGGAUUAAUCUAUAAGGAAUAACAUUGUUAGAUGAUAAAUUAAUUAACCUUUAAGGAUCAGGUAAAAACAAAUCCAGUUAAUUUAACAAAAUAAAAAAGUUACAUGUUAAUUUUAGGGAGGAAAAAAAGUUACCAAACUUAUAUUUCAUCAUUUUUCUUGUGGGGUUAAAUUGACCUGCUUGAUUAUUAUUAUUUUUUUUAUAAUUAUAAAUCUUUACAAAAACUAACACAAUUAUUUAUAAACUGGGAAUUUAUAAAUUUUUUUUAAGGGGAAAAAAUACUCAUCAUUAGCAAAUCUGAUUCGAGCAAAUUAUUGAUGUGAUUAACAUUAAUGAAGGCACCAUCAAUGAUGUCAUUAAUGAAGGUGUCAUCAGCCAUGUCAUUGAUGAAAGCAUCAUCAAACAUGUCAAUAAUGAGGGCAUUGUCAACCAUUUCUCGUCUUUUUUUUUCCUCUUUUGGUAACAAUUUACAUUCUCAAUUAUUAUAUUCUCAUAAGUCGGAAUUUUUAAGAAACGGGAGAAAUUUACAUUUCCGUUCUGGUAAAUUGAUUUUCAUUUACAGUCUGGAUUCGAUAAAUUUUUUAUAUUUUCAUGCACCAGAAUUUCAACGCCAUGAAAAAUAUCGACUAUUUUUUUUUGUCUUCAUAAAAGCAAUAGAGGAUGUCAAAAUUUUAUUUAUUUUACUUUACAUACUGGUGGAAACUGAGUUAUAGAAUAAAUAGAAUAAAAUAAUAAUAGAAUUGCAGAAUUAUGUACUUUACUGAUGUAAAAUAAAGCAUUGUUUUGUAAAUCGUUUACGUAAAUAAAGUAAAGCAUUGUUUUGUAAAUCGUUUACGUAAAGUAAAGCAUUGUUUUGUAAAUCAUUUACACAAAUAAAGUCACUCUUAAUUA